CACAGAGUUAGCCGAUGCUUAUUCCUCAGAUACCGUCAUUGUUUCUUCUCCGAGAAAAGAAGUUGACGACCCGUAGGCCUUCCACCUCCACGCGGCAUUGCUCCGUCAGGCUUUCGCCCAUUGCGGAAGAUUCCCUACUGCUGCCUCCCGUAGGAGUUUGGGCCGUGUCUCAGUCCCAAUGUGGCCGAUCAGUCUCUCAACUCGGCUAUGCAUCAUUGCCUUGGUAAGCCGUUACCUUACCAACUAGCUAAUGCACCGCAGGUCCAUCCAAGAGUGAUAGCAGAACCAUCUUUCAAACUCUAGACAUGCGUCUAGUGUUGUUAUCCGGUAUUAGCAUCUGUUUCCAGGUGUUAUCCCAGUCUCUUGGGCAGGUUACCCACGUGUUACUCACCCGUCCGCCGCUCGCUUGUAUCUAGUUUCAUUUAGUGCAAGCACUAAAAUCAUCUAGGCAAGCUUGCUCGACUUGCAUGUAUUAGGCACGCCCG
Molecule: ribosomal RNA, 485 nt
Filed under: uncultured Lactobacillales bacterium
Lineage: Bacteria; Bacillati; Bacillota; Bacilli; Lactobacillales
Description: partial 16S ribosomal RNA
Source: RNAcentral